AACGAACGCUGGCGGCAUGCCUAACACAUGCAAGUCGAACGAGUCCUGCGGGCAGAGGGGCCCACGGGGGGGUAACGCGGGGGAACCUGCCCUUGGGUGUGGAAUAACUCGCCGAGAGGGGUGCUAAUACGGGAGAAUGGCUGCGGACGAAAGAUGUAUCGCCUUGGGCGGGGCCCGCGUUGGAUUAGCUAGUUGGUAGCGUAAAAGCCUACCAAGGCGACGAUACAUAGAUGGUCUGAGAGGAUGAUCGGGCACACGGGGAAUGAGACACGGCCCAGGCUCGUACGGGAGGCAGCAGUGGGGAAUCGUGGACGAUGGGCGAAAGAGUGAUGCAGCCAUGCCGUGUGAAUGGUGCCGGCGGUAGGGUUGUACCGCACCUUUACCCGGGAUGCUGAUGACAGUACCCAGAGAACACGCUCCGGCUAACUGGGUG
RNAcentral lists this ribosomal RNA (433 nucleotides) under uncultured bacterium. Its description in RNAcentral is "partial 16S ribosomal RNA". It matches the Rfam family "Bacterial small subunit ribosomal RNA", at positions 28 to 507 of the family's 1533-position model. The record is from RNAcentral.